This 253-nucleotide ribosomal RNA is filed under the name uncultured bacterium. RNAcentral describes it as "partial 16S ribosomal RNA". It matches the Rfam family "Bacterial small subunit ribosomal RNA", at positions 524 to 776 of the family's 1533-position model. The record is from RNAcentral.
UACAGAGGUCCCAAGCGUUGUUCGGAUUUACUGGGCGUAAAGGGUGCGUAGGCGGUUACAAAAGUCCGAUGUGAAAUCUUGGAGCUUAACUCCGAAACUGCAUUGGAUACUAUUUAACUAGAGUAGUGGAAGGGAGACUGGAAUUCUCGGUGUAGCAGUGAAAUGCGUAGAUAUCGAGAGGAACACCAGUGGCGAAGGCGAGUCUCUGGACACUAACUGACGCUGAGGCACGAAAGCCAAGGGAGCAAACGGG